This 253-nucleotide ribosomal RNA is filed under the name uncultured bacterium. Its description in RNAcentral is "partial 16S ribosomal RNA". It matches the Rfam family "Bacterial small subunit ribosomal RNA", at positions 524 to 776 of the family's 1533-position model. The record is from RNAcentral.
UACGUAGGGGGCAAGCGUUGUCCGGAUUUAUUGGGCGUAAAGAGCGUGUAGGCGGCCAGGUAGGCCCGUUGUGAAAACUGGAGGCUUAACCUCCAGCUGUCGAUGGAAACCAUCUGGCUAGAGUCCGGAAGAGGAGAGUGGAAUUCCUGGUGUAGCGGUGAAAUGCGCAGAUAUCAGGAAGAACACCCGUGGCGAAGGCGGCUCUCUGGGACGGUACUGACGCUGAGACGCGAAAGCGUGGGGAGCGAACAGG